This 364-nucleotide ribosomal RNA is filed under the name uncultured eukaryote. Its description in RNAcentral is "partial 18S ribosomal RNA". It matches the Rfam family "Eukaryotic small subunit ribosomal RNA", at positions 592 to 976 of the family's 1831-position model. The record is from RNAcentral.
CAAAAGCGUAUAUUAAAGUUGUUGCAGUUAAAAAGCUCGUAGUUGAACCUUGGGCUUGGCUGGCCGGUCCAUCUUUUUUGAUGCGUACUGGACCCAGCCGAGCCUUUCCUUCUGGCUAGCCUUUUGGCGAACCAGGACUUUUACUUUGAAAAAAUUAGAGUGUUCAAAGCAGGCCUUUGCUCGAAUAUAUUAGCAUGGGAUAAUAGAAUAGGACGUUAUGGUUCUAUUUUGUUGGUUUCUAGGACCAUCGUAAUGAUUAAUAGGGACGGUCGGGGGUAUCAGUAUUCAGUUGUCAGAGGUGAAAUUCUUGGAUUUACUGAAGACUAACUACUGCGAAAGCAUUUACCAAGGACGUUUUCAUUAA